Molecule: long non-coding RNA, 733 nt
Filed under: Heterocephalus glaber (naked mole-rat)
Lineage: Eukaryota; Metazoa; Chordata; Mammalia; Rodentia; Bathyergidae
Description: lncRNA (ENSHGLG00100051372.1)
Source: RNAcentral
UCUAGACAGAGGAAGGUGGGCGGCAAACCACCUUCCUAUGAGCCCCAUGGUGUGCUCGCUGGGCCCUCAACACAAACAUUUUUCAGCAGAGCCAAGCCUUGGAGCUUAUCCUGAGGCCACUGGAGUCCAGUAACUCAUGGUGUUCACCAUUGGGUCUGACUCCGGUGCAUCAUGACAGCUGCUGUGCACACCUAAGAGGAGUGUGGGCUGUGGUUCUCGCCUUCCACCUGCAUCAAAUCCAGGGGAACACAGUCUCUGAGUGAGAAGGGUUCGUGGCCUUAGAUCCAGCACUGCCUCCUGCCCAUCGCAGAGUGAGCCCUGUACAUCAUCACCAAGUGAGGUGCUUUAGAGCAGACUCCCGCACCAUAUAGACCCUCCCUCCAGUGUCUGGUUUCUGCUUGAGAACGUUCACAUUCAGGAAGCCCUCCACUCUGGCAGCCCAUUCCAUUGUUGAAUCCUUCCAGCUCCUAGAGACCUUUCCUUCCACACCUAACUUCCUUGUAACCUCACCACGGGCCCAGCUUCUGCCCUUAGGAGCUAGGAUGAAAUCAACUGCACAGACCCAAUGCCAGGUCUCUAGGUUGGAGACAUCCCAGCUGAAUCCUGGCCCCCUUCUCUGGCCUUCAUUAUCCCUGUUCCUUCAGUCACCACUCAGGUGCAUUUGUUUUGAGACUACCUCGUCACUGUAUUGCAGAGGCAAGACUGGCACCAGUGGUUAAGCAAUAAUAUGAGC